UUGAGAAAAUUGUGAUACAUAGGACACCCAGUCAACAGCUCCGACAAAUCAGAGCCCGCCGUGUGGCAAGGCACGUUGACGCGGUGCUACGCGGGAAGCCACGUUGACGAUUCGCGUGUUCACGAUCGGACGGUCCGAAUUUGUUCCCGCGCGCAUGGACAGUCUGGAUUUGUUCACUUUUUAAAACGCGAUCAGACAGUCCAGAUCAAAUCACGAUGAAUGGUCCUGAUUCACUUUCUAUUUAAACACGAUCGGACGGUCCACAUCCACUUCCUAUUUAAACGCGAUCGGACGGUCCAGAUUAAAUCGUGAUGAAUGAUCCAUAUUCACUUCCUAUUUAAACGCAAUCGGACGGUCAAGAUCAAACGUGAUGAACGAUACAGAUUAAAAGAAUAUGAAUAUAAAUAACUCUCUUCACACCAAACCCUAACCCUAGCCGUCAGACCCCACCGCCAGAGAAGAAGAGCCAGUCGCCGGGAAGGUAGUCGACCGUCGUUUGCCGUCGCGCCGGAGCCACUUUCGACCGCCAAA
RNAcentral lists this long non-coding RNA (531 nucleotides) under Carica papaya (papaya). RNAcentral describes it as "long non-coding RNA (CPAP_LNC001617)". Lineage: Eukaryota; Viridiplantae; Streptophyta; Magnoliopsida; Brassicales; Caricaceae. The record is from RNAcentral.